AAAUUGAAGAGUUUGAUCAUGGCUCAGAUUGAACGCUGGCGGCAGGCCUAACACAUGCAAGUCGAACGGUAACAGGAAGCAGCUUGCUGCUUUGCUGACGAGUGGCGGACGGGUGAGUAAUGUCUGGGAAACUGCCUGAUGGAGGGGGAUAACUACUGGAAACGGUGGCUAAUACCGCAUAACGUCGCAAGACCAAAGAGGGGGACCUUCGGGCCUCUUGCCAUCAGAUGUGCCCAGAUGGGAUUAGCUAGUUGGUGAGGUAACGGCUCACCAAGGCGACGAUCCCUAGCUGGUCUGAGAGGAUGACCAGCCACACUGGAACUGAGACACGGUCCAGACUCCUACGGGAGGCAGCAGUGGGGAAUAUUGCACAAUGGGCGCAAGCCUGAUGCAGCCAUGCCGCGUGUAUGAAGAAGGCCUUCGGGUUGUAAAGUACUUUCAGCGGGGAGGAAGGUGUUGUGGUUAAUAACCGCAGCAAUUGACGUUACCCGCAGAAGAAGCACCGGCUAACUCCGUGCCAGCAGCCGCGGUAAUACGGAGGGUGCAAGCGUUAAUCGGAAUUACUGGGCGUAAAGCGCACGCAGGCGGUCUGUCAAGUCGGAUGUGAAAUCCCCGGGCUCAACCUGGGAACUGCAUUCGAAACUGGCAGGCUUGAGUCUUGUAGAGGGGGGUAGAAUUCCAGGUGUAGCGGUGAAAUGCGUAGAGAUCUGGAGGAAUACCGGUGGCGAAGGCGGCCCCCUGGACAAAGACUGACGCUCAGGUGCGAAAGCGUGGGGAGCAAACAGGAUUAGAUACCCUGGUAGUCCACGCCGUAAACGAUGUCUACUUGGAGGUUGUGCCCUUGAGGCGUGGCUUCCGGAGCUAACGCGUUAAGUAGACCGCCUGGGGAGUACGGCCGCAAGGUUAAAACUCAAAUGAAUUGACGGGGGCCCGCACAAGCGGUGGAGCAUGUGGUUUAAUUCGAUGCAACGCGAAGAACCUUACCUGGUCUUGACAUCCACAGAACUUUCCAGAGAUGGAUUGGUGCCUUCGGGAACUGUGAGACAGGUGCUGCAUGGCUGUCGUCAGCUCGUGUUGUGAAAUGUUGGGUUAAGUCCCGCAACGAGCGCAACCCUUAUCCUUUGUUGCCAGCGGUUAGGCCGGGAACUCAAAGGAGACUGCCAGUGAUAAACUGGAGGAAGGUGGGGAUGACGUCAAGUCAUCAUGGCCCUUACGACCAGGGCUACACACGUGCUACAAUGGCGCAUACAAAGAGAAGCGACCUCGCGAGAGCAAGCGGACCUCAUAAAGUGCGUCGUAGUCCGGAUUGGAGUCUGCAACUCGACUCCAUGAAGUCGGAAUCGCUAGUAAUCGUGGAUCAGAAUGCCACGGUGAAUACGUUCCCGGGCCUUGUACACACCGCCCGUCACACCAUGGGAGUGGGUUGCAAAAGAAGUAGGUAGCUUAACCUUCGGGAGGGCGCUUACCACUUUGUGAUUCAUGACUGGGGUGAAGUCGUAACAAGGUAACCGUAGGGGAACCUGCGGUUGGAUCACCUCCUUACCUGAAAGAA
RNAcentral lists this ribosomal RNA (1552 nucleotides) under Salmonella enterica subsp. enterica serovar Bareilly str. CFSAN000189. RNAcentral describes it as "bacterial SSU rRNA". It matches the Rfam family "Bacterial small subunit ribosomal RNA". Lineage: Bacteria; Pseudomonadati; Pseudomonadota; Gammaproteobacteria; Enterobacterales; Enterobacteriaceae. The record is from RNAcentral. RNAcentral also lists the same sequence under 22 other names.